This 72-nucleotide transfer RNA is filed under the name Camelus bactrianus (Bactrian camel). It matches the Rfam family "tRNA". Rfam says of the family: Transfer RNA (tRNA) molecules are approximately 80 nucleotides in length. The record is from Rfam by way of RNAcentral. Lineage: Eukaryota; Metazoa; Chordata; Mammalia; Artiodactyla; Camelidae. RNAcentral also lists the same sequence under 1 other name.
GAGGGUACACCUCAGCGGUAGAGCACAUGAUUAGUAUGCAUGAAGUCCUGGGUUCAAUCCCCAGUACCUCUG